UGAGUACGAGACGCUACGGCGUCGAAGCAGUCUAUGUCAUACUUCCAAGAAAAGCUUGCACUGUCAUAAACAAAUAAUGCCUGUACCAUAACCGACACAGGUGGGUAGGUAGAGUAUACUAAGGGGCGCGAGAUAACUCUCUCUAAGGAACUCGGCAAAAUGACUCCGUAACUUCGGGAGAAGGAGUGCCUUAUUCUUAAGGUUGCAAUAACAAGAUCCAAGCAACUGUUUAUCAAAAACACAGGUCUCCGCUAAGUCGUAAGACGAUGUAUGGGGGCUGACGCCUGCCCAGAGCCAGAAGGUUAAAGAAGUUGGUUAGCAUUCGCGAAGCUGAUAACUGAAGCCCUGGUGAACGCCGGCCGUAACUAUAACGGUCCUAAGGUAGCGAAAUUCCUUGUCGGGUAAGUUCCGACCCGCACGAAAGGCGUAAUGAUUUGGAUACUGUCUCGGAGAGGGGCUCGGUGAAAUAGACUUGUCUGUGAAGAUGCGGACUACCUGCACCUGGACAGAAAGACCCUAUGAAGCUUUACUGUAACUUGAAAUUGAAAUUGGACUUUAUUUGCGCAGUAUAGGUGGGAGGCGUUGAGAAUAUUCUUGCGGGAAUAUUGGAGCCAUCAGUGAGAUACCACUCUUGUAAUGUUAGAUUUCUAACUUUGAAUCAUUAUCUGGUCAAAGGACAGUUUCAGGCGGGCAGUUUGACUGGGGCGGUCGCCUCCUAAAUGGUAACGGAGGCGCACAAAGGUUUCCUCUGAACGGGUAGAAAUCGUAUCUAGAGUGUAAAGGCAUAAGGAAGCUUGACUGUGAGACCUACAAGUCGAGCAGGGACGAAAGUCGGUCUUAGUGAUCUGACGGUGCUGAGUGGAAAGGCCGUCACUCAACGGAUAAAAGUUACUCUAGGAUAACAGGCUGAUCUCCCCCAAGAGUUCACAUCGACGGGGAGGUUUGGCACCUUGAUGUCGGCUCAUCGCAUCCUGGGGCGGUAGUACGUCCCAAGGGUUGGGCUGUUCGCCCAUGAAAGCGGUACGCGAGCUGGGUUCAGAACGUCGUGAGACAGUUCGGUCCAUAUCCGGUGUAGGCGUUAGAAUAUUGAGAGGAGCCUUCUUUAGUACGAGAGGACCGAGAAGGACAUACCUCUGGUGUACCAGUUAUCGUGCCAACGGUAGACGCUGGGUAGCUAUGUAUGGAGAGGAUAACCGCUGAAAGCAUCUAAGUGGGAAGCCCACCUCAAGAUAAG
This 1234-nucleotide ribosomal RNA is filed under the name metagenome. RNAcentral describes it as "bacterial LSU rRNA". It matches the Rfam family "Bacterial large subunit ribosomal RNA", at positions 1564 to 2808 of the family's 2925-position model. The record is from RNAcentral.